CCUACGGGGGGCAGCAGUGAGGAAUAUUGGUCAAUGGACGAGAGUCUGAACCAGCCAAGUAGCGUGAAGGAUGACUGCCCUAUGGGUUGUAAACUUCUUUUAUAUGGGAAUAAAAUGUUCCACGUGUGGGCUUUUGUAUGUACCAUAUGAAUAAGGAUCGGCUAACUCCGUGCCAGCAGCCGCGGUAAUACGGAGGAUCCGAGCGUUAUCCGGAUUUAUUGGGUUUAAAGGGAGCGUAGGUGGAUUGUUAAGUCAGUUGUGAAAGUUUGCGGCUCAACCGUAAAAUUGCAGUUGAAACUGGCAGUCUUGAGUACAGUAGAGGUGGGCGGAAUUCGUGGUGUAGCGGUGAAAUGCUUAGAUAUCACGAAGAACUCCGAUUGCGAAGGCAGCUCACUGGACUGCAACUGACACUGAUGCUCGAAAGUGUGGGUAUCAAACAGGAUUAGAUACCCUUGUAAUC
Molecule: ribosomal RNA, 460 nt
Filed under: uncultured bacterium
Lineage: Bacteria
Description: partial 16S ribosomal RNA
Rfam family: Bacterial small subunit ribosomal RNA
Source: RNAcentral